GCGGAGAUCCUACCUCUUUUGACCAGAGAUGUUGAAAAGCACGACCAAAGUUUUUGGUUUGGUCUCUUGCUUUCCACAAUGAGAUAAAGUCUUAAGCCUGUAACUCUCCCUAUCCCAUGGGAGUGUGCAAAGGGAAGGAAAAUAAGCGGCGUGGGUGAGGGGUGGCGGCGCAGAAUCGAGGAAGGGAGGAGAGGCGAGAGCCAGCCUCUGGCAGGAGGGCGUGGAUCUCGGUGCAAGCCAGAACAGGUCCAGCCUUCCCGCGGCCAGCGCCAGCAGCGGGAGGGGACAGGCGGGACCUCCGUGGGCAGUCCCGGGUGCGGACCAGCGGGGAGCGGCCGGCAAGAAACUCCCUUGGAUCCGCCCAGAGCUUACUGGACCCUGCCCGUCCCUGUCCCAGCUCCCAGCCAGUUUGGGGGAGAAGUUGCCCGAGGGGAGGUACCGGACAGAUCUCGUGCUGGAAGCGACGCAGGUGCUGUAAACUGCAAACCAUAAUCCUGUCUUCACAUUGCAAACAAAUCACAGUGGAACUAAGGGGAACUUAAUUUACGGUUUCCAGGUUAACUAAGGUCUCAGCUUUAAACCAAAAGUAAGAAGAGACAUUAAGAUUUUCAUUCUUUCUGGGUUAUCUCCUUCCUGAAGAGCAAUGGAGCCACGUUUAAAUGGAAGGAGAUUAAUCAUAUCUCUAAUUUUCUUCCUGUUAAAAUUCUCGACAGCAAUUGAAAUACCACCCUCAGUUCAACAGGUUCCAACAAUCAUAAAACAGUCAAAAGUCCAAGUUGCCUUUCCCUUCGAUGAGUAUUUUCAAAUUGAAUGUGAAGCUAAAGGAAAUCCAGAACCAACAUUUACGUGGACUAAGGAUGGCAACCCUUUUUAUUUCACUGACCAUCGGAUAAUUACAUCUAAUAAUUCAGGAACAUUCAGGAUCCCAAAUGAGGGGCACAUAUCUCACUUUCAAGGGAAAUACCGCUGCUUUGCUUCAAAUAAACUGGGAAUCGCUAUGUCAGAAGAAAUAGAAUUUAUAGUUCCAAGUAAGUGCUAUAAUGGGAAUUUCAUUUUACAAAUGUUCUAGUGAAGUGUUAAAUAGGAGUUAUAUUGGGUUCCAAUGAAAUAAAGCAAUUAUUAAUUAAAUCAA
This is an RNA transcript of Mandrillus leucophaeus (drill), 1132 nucleotides long. It is a transcript of the gene named neural cell adhesion molecule L1-like protein, with no coding region annotated. NCBI's taxonomy places the organism in Eukaryota, Metazoa, Chordata, Mammalia, Primates, Cercopithecidae. The record is from RefSeq and is a predicted model, not a curated record. The transcript is spliced from 5 exons.